AUUGAACGCUGGCGGCAGGCCUAACACAUGCAAGUCGAGCGGAUGAAGGGAGCUUGCUCCUGGAUUCAGCGGCGGACGGGUGAGUAAUGCCUAGGAAUCUGCCUGGUAGUGGGUGAUAACGUCCGGAAACGGGCGCUAAUACCGCAUACGUCCUGAGGGAGAAAGUGGGGGAUCUUCGGACCUCACGCUAUCACAUGAUCCUAGGUCGGAUUAGCUAGUUGGUGGGGUAAAGGCCUACCAAGGCGACGAUCCGUAGCUGGUCUGAGAGGAUGAUCAGUCACACUGGAACUGAGACACGGUCCAGACUCCUACGGGAGGCAGCAGUGGGGAAUAUUGGACAAUGGGCGAAAGCCUGAUCCAGCCAUGCUGCGUGUGUGAAGAAGGUCUUCGGAUUGUAAAGCCCUUUAAGUUGGGAGGAAGGGCAGUAAGUUAAUACCUUGCUGUUUUGACGUUACCAACAGAAUAAGCACCGGCUAACUUCGUG
This 484-nucleotide ribosomal RNA is filed under the name uncultured bacterium. Its description in RNAcentral is "partial 16S ribosomal RNA". It matches the Rfam family "Bacterial small subunit ribosomal RNA", at positions 30 to 507 of the family's 1533-position model. The record is from RNAcentral.